This 387-nucleotide RNase P RNA is filed under the name Xanthobacter dioxanivorans. RNAcentral's name for it is "Bacterial RNase P class A". It matches the Rfam family "Bacterial RNase P class A". From Rfam's summary of the family: Ribonuclease P (RNase P) is a ubiquitous endoribonuclease, found in archaea, bacteria and eukarya as well as chloroplasts and mitochondria. Its best characterised activity is the generation of mature 5'-ends of tRNAs by cleaving the 5'-leader elements of precursor-tRNAs. Lineage: Bacteria; Pseudomonadati; Pseudomonadota; Alphaproteobacteria; Hyphomicrobiales; Xanthobacteraceae. The record is from Rfam by way of RNAcentral.
CCAGCCGGCCGGGCGGCCGCGGUAUGCUCUGCAUAUCGAGGAAAGUCCGGGCUCCACGCAGACACGGUGCCGGAUAACGUCCGGCGGGGGCAACCCCAGGGAAAGUGCCACAGAAAUCAGACCACCCGUGAAAGACUUUCGGGUCCGCACGGGCCAGGGUGAAACGGUGGGGUAAGAGCCCACCGCGCGACCGGCAACGGGAGCGGCACGGCAAACCCCACCGGGAGCAAGGUCGAAUAGGGACGGCACGGGAAACCACCCCUGUCUACGGGGCGCCGUCCGGGUUGACUGCUAGAGGCGCCGGGCAACCGGCGUCCCAGAGGAAUGGUCGCCACGCGGGCCGCAAGGUCCGCCGUACAGAACCCGGCUUACAGGCCGGCUGGUGUU